RNAcentral lists this long non-coding RNA (1462 nucleotides) under Taeniopygia guttata (zebra finch). RNAcentral's name for it is "lncRNA (ENSTGUG00000008913.2)". The record is from RNAcentral. Lineage: Eukaryota; Metazoa; Chordata; Aves; Passeriformes; Estrildidae.
GCGUGCGGUGGCAGCGGCGGGGCGCGCAGUCCUGCAGGCCGGCCCGGGGCCGGGGGCGGUGGCCGAGCCGGUGCCCGCGUCCGUGCCUGCCUCCGGCGCUCCGGUGCUGGCGGGGGCUCAGAUGUGCGUCAAAGGAACGGUGCCGUUCACCCCCGUGCUGGCGCUCUGGUAGUGCUGGGGCAGGGAGUGGAGCCGGCUCUGGGCGGCAGCGGCCGCCGGAUCCCCGCCUUCCCCGGCCGGAGAGCCGUGCCAACCAACUGGAAGCGUGAGGAGAGUAAGGGCUGUCCUGCCGCCGCCUCGGCGCGCCCCACUCCCGGCCGCCGCUCCCAGCCAGCCCGGACUGCUGCGACACCGGCGGGACCCGAGAGGCGGCCCCGCUGCGGGACCCGCUGCGGCUCCCCGGAGCGGCUUGGGCGGGGGUCAGCGGCUCACAGGCCGCUUUCCCUCUGUCUCCACCCCAACCAACGUGUCGCCCACCGCCACGCUGGGAGCACGCGGUUUUUACUGGCUUUGAAAAUAAGCUUUAUGUCUCCGUUGCACCUAAAAGAAGUAGUAUCGAUCUCCCGCACGUCUGAUCUCCGCAGCAGCCGACGGCUGCCCCAAGGCGACAGCGGGUCCCGGCGGGCGGGACAUUCAGCGUGUCUCCUCGCCUUGGAACGGCCCCGAUCCUUCCCUCGGUGGGACUUUCGCGUCGGUAGAAAAACCAGAAUCGUUACGAAGUUUUGUCAGCAGGAACAUUUUCUAAAAUGUUUGUUUAUGCUACGCAUCAGCUCGGCUUCCAGCACAAUAUUGUUCUUAAAGAGGAAUAUCCUGUAUUGUGAUCCAUUCGUGUCUAAUUUUGUUAGUAAUUACAGUAAAAUUGAAUAAGUAAUUGAUAACAUUCCAAUGACACCACUCCCUAUGAUUAACAGGCUGAAUACACCUUCUAACAUUACACAAAAGUCGUACUUUUCAAGUUUGUUCAAAUUUCAAAAUUUCUUUAAAAAUUGUUAUUACUAAGGCACACACCGGCAAUAUGCGCUGAUCAGAUGGCACAGCAUCUCGCGGGAGAUGAGGGUUUGCACUACCCUAAUUUUCACGGUUUGGGGUUUCUACCUAAAAGGAUAGCCUGACCAUUUACUUUUUACAGUCGAGUUAUCGAGUGGUCCUUUAGAAAAAAAUACCUCACAUCAAAAAAACAAAAAAACCCCCCCACGAACAGAAAACAUACCCAGCAAUCUGCUUUCAACCAAGAGAAAAAUAUUUUAAAAGAGUUUAGUUUUGUAACUGUAAACUUGUAAAUGAAAAGGAAGAACUGUGGCGGUGGAGAGUUUGUCGGACUAGAAUGACAUGAGGAAUUAUUACGUAGUUAAUCUUUAAAAUUGCACUGCUGAAAUGUCAGUCACGGAAAAAGAGCUUCUCAAGCCCAAAUGCGGCAUCCCAUUUACAGCAGGGCAACCUGGAUGGUUAUGUCUGUGGUGCG